RNAcentral lists this ribosomal RNA (273 nucleotides) under uncultured bacterium. RNAcentral describes it as "partial 16S ribosomal RNA". It matches the Rfam family "Bacterial small subunit ribosomal RNA", at positions 524 to 796 of the family's 1533-position model. The record is from RNAcentral.
UACGGGGGGUGCAAGCGUUGUUCGGAAUCAUUGGGCGUAAAGAGCGUGUAGGCGGUUGGACAAGUCAGAUGUGAAAGCCCUGGGCUUAACUCAGGAAGUGCAUUUGAAACUGUUCAGCUGGAGUAAGGGAGAGGAAAGUGGAAUUCCUGGUGGAGAGGUGAAAUUCGUAGCUCGCAGGAGGAACACCGGUGGCGAAGGCGACUUUCUGGCCCUAUACUUACGCUGAGAAGCGCGAGCGUGGUUAGCCAACAGUAUUAGAUACCCGCGUAGUCC